Molecule: long non-coding RNA, 1303 nt
Filed under: Vulpes vulpes (red fox)
Lineage: Eukaryota; Metazoa; Chordata; Mammalia; Carnivora; Canidae
Description: lncRNA (ENSVVUG00000000053.1)
Source: RNAcentral
UUUCUGAACAUUACAAUCUCAGAUUGUGGGAAGAACAGUUUAAUGUAAAAAUCUCUGUUUUACGUUAAAAUCUGCUGUAGCCCUCAUCCUGAGCCCACGGGUCAUUUCCUGAAAUCAAUUGUGGGAGCCAUGAGCCUGAUGGGAACAGGAGUUAGCUUCAUCUGUUUUUCACAGCAGUUCAUCCGGAUUUGCAGAAAGGACUCAGGUCUGCGUGCAUGUGGCUGGAGCCCUCCACUCAGAGGCCUGCUUGCUGCCUGGGAGGUCCUGACACCGACCCUCUUCAGGAUUACGAUUUGAAAGAUGGAGAAGUGGGGAAGAAUGAUGUGUGGGAGUAUGGGGCAAGGAUAUUCCUCAACUUCAGCCCCUCACAACUUGUGGGAACCCAAUGCCAAUGGGUGCAACCUCAGCCACAAAGCCACAGUGGUCGCCUUUUUCCUGUUUUUCUUGGUCACGGAUAUCUAAGAAGACUUCUUAAGGUGAGUAAAGUCAGGGAUGAAGAAGGGGACAUAGGAAUCUCUACUUCUAUUCUUAUAAUCAUAUUGGGCAAAUAUCUGUCACCAUUGCACUGUGAGAUUUGGGAUUGCUUCAAUCCAGUGAGUAGAGGAAGCAAGAGAGGUGUGUGAGUGUGUGUGUCUGUGUGUGUUUGAGGAGUGAAUCUGAGUCCAGCCUCAUGUACACUGUGGAAUGGCUAUCACAGACUCUGACAGCCUAGAUCCACAGAAAGCAGUGCUGUGUAGAUAAAACAUAGUAUGUUUGCCUCCACAGAGGCGUUACCUCUGGCUUCUGUGGCCACUCUCUGCUGCUCCAUGUUUGUAGAUUCUGUAAGUCUCCAUAGUCCACUUGGAUUCCUCCAAGGGCUGCUGCUAACUAGUUGUCUGAUCUCUGAAAACUCAUCUUGCCUCUUUGGAUGUCAGCUUCCUUGUCUGUCAACAGAACAGGGUUCACCUCAUGAUCUCUAGAGCUCUUCCAAUUUGGAAUUCUGUAACUCUGAUGUCAACGCUGGAUUCCUUUCCACUCUGGGGGGCUGGGGUCACUUCAUGCCUUGCCCUGGGGUCAUCUGUGCUUCUGGGAACAGCACCACAGACUCCACAAUCCCUUGUCCACCGCUGGGUGGUGUAACCAUACAUUUGUGAAUGAUGGAACAUCGCAGGAGAUGGGAAGAAGGAAAACACUACUAUCGAAGACAAGGAUGGUUUUCAUUCCCUACCUUAAUUUUGUAUUGCUUGCCUACUAAGUGUCAAGCAGUGUUCCAAAUAGUCUUUUUUUUUUUUUUUNAAGAUUUUAUUUUUUUAUCCAUGAGAGA